This 25-nucleotide ribosomal RNA is filed under the name Nephromopsis ahtii. Its description in RNAcentral is "partial 18S ribosomal RNA". Lineage: Eukaryota; Fungi; Ascomycota; Lecanoromycetes; Lecanorales; Parmeliaceae. The record is from RNAcentral.
UGCGGAACCUGCGGAAGGAUCAUUA